This 496-nucleotide ribosomal RNA is filed under the name uncultured bacterium. RNAcentral's name for it is "partial 16S ribosomal RNA". It matches the Rfam family "Bacterial small subunit ribosomal RNA", at positions 29 to 507 of the family's 1533-position model. The record is from RNAcentral.
AUGAACGCUGGCGGCGUGCCUAAUACAUGCAAGUCGAGCGAACAGACGAGGAGCUUGCUCCUCUGACGUUAGCGGCGGACGGGUGAGUAACACGUGGAUAACCUACCUAUAAGACUGGGAUAACUUCGGGAAACCGGAGCUAAUACCGGAUAAUAUAUUGAACCGCAUGGUUCAAUAGUGAAAGACGGGUUUGCUGUCACCUAUAGAUGGAUCCGCGCCGCAUUAGCUAGUUGGUAAGGUAACGGCUUACCAAGGCGACGAUGCGUAGCCGACCUGAGAGGGUGAUCGGCCACACUGGAACUGAGACACGGUCCAGACUCCUACGGGAGGCAGCAGUAGGGAAUCUUCCGCAAUGGGCGAAAGCCUGACGGAGCAACGCCGCGUGAGUGAUGAAGGUCUUCGGAUCGUAAAACUCUGUUAUUAGGGAAGAACAAAUGUGUAAGUAACUAUGCACGUCUUGACGGUACCUAAUCAGAAAGCCACGGCUAACUACGUG